GCCGUUUAGGGGGUCACUGCAGACCCCAAACGACGUCGUUUUAAGCCCUAUAAAAUCCCAUCUUAAAACCCUAAAAAUCAAUCUCCUCUGCCAUUUCCAAUUGCGCCGUUGCCAUCUCUGCUCUCCAUCGCUCCACCUUCCUCUCGUUCCGAAGACAGAAUGAAAAGAUCCCCCAACGCUGCUCGCGGCAGUACGGGCAUUGUGCGAGGUGUGCUCAACGUGCGGGGCUAUUGAACUUGGGUGGUUGCUGCGCCAGGGGCGGUUGCUGCGACGUGGGGCGUGCGGCGCCAAACUGCUGCUUAGGGUUUCUGUACCUUUGGGCCAAUUGGGCCCUGUAAUUGGGUUAAGCUUGGCCCAAGUUUUAUUGGGUUUAAUUGCAUUUAAUUUGGGCUAUGCAAAUGAUUUUGGGUUGGUCUUAUUUUGAAUGGGCUAGACAAAAAUCGGCUAUUACAAUGUAGAAAUAUUGAAACUCAAACUCUCUUACGCUAUGCUUGUUUCACUGAAAAUGGCUUCUGAAAAAUGAGUUGUUUUUUAAGAAAAGUUAAUAUUUUCUGGUGUUUUGAUGAA
This is a long non-coding RNA of Gossypium raimondii (Peruvian cotton), 567 nucleotides long. RefSeq lists it as uncharacterized. The record is from RefSeq and is a predicted model, not a curated record. Lineage: Eukaryota; Viridiplantae; Streptophyta; Magnoliopsida; Malvales; Malvaceae. The transcript is spliced from 2 exons.